This 464-nucleotide ribosomal RNA is filed under the name Vreelandella stevensii. RNAcentral describes it as "partial 16S ribosomal RNA". It matches the Rfam family "Bacterial small subunit ribosomal RNA", at positions 338 to 795 of the family's 1533-position model. Lineage: Bacteria; Pseudomonadati; Pseudomonadota; Gammaproteobacteria; Oceanospirillales; Halomonadaceae. The record is from RNAcentral.
CCUACGGGAGGCAGCAGUGGGGAAUAUUGGACAAUGGGGGAACCCUGAUCCAGCCAUGCCGCGUGUGUGAAGAAGGCCCUCGGGUUGUAAAGCACUUUCAGUGAGGAAGAACGCCUGGUGGUUAAUACCCAUCAGGAAAGACAUCACUCACAGAAGAAGCACCGGCUAACUCCGUGCCAGCAGCCGCGGUAAUACGGAGGGUGCGAGCGUUAAUCGGAAUUACUGGGCGUAAAGCGCGCGUAGGUGGCUUGAUAAGCCGGUUGUGAAAGCCCCGGGCUCAACCUGGGAACGGCAUCCGGAACUGUCAAGCUAGAGUGCAGGAGAGGAAGGUAGAAUUCCCGGUGUAGCGGUGAACUGCGUAGAGAUCGGGAGGAAUACCAGUGGCGAAGGCGGCCUUCUGGACUGACACUGACACUGAGGUGCGAAAGCGUGGGUAGCAAACAGGAUUAGAUACCCCUGUAGUC